CCUACGGGAGGCAGCAGUAGGGAAUCUUCCACAAUGGGCGAAAGCCUGAUGGAGCAACGCCGCGUGGGUGAAGAAGGUCUUCGGAUCGUAAAACCCUGUUGUUAGAGAAGAAAGUGCGUGAGAGUAACUGUUCACGUUUCGACGGUAUCUAACCAGAAAGCCACGGCUAACUACGUGCCAGCAGCCGCGGUAAUACGUAGGUGGCAAGCGUUAUCCGGAUUUAUUGGGCGUAAAGGGAACGCAGGCGGUCUUUUAAGUCUGAUGGGAAAGCCUUCGGCUUAACCGGCGUAGUGCAUUGGAAACUGGGAGACUUGAGUGUAGAAGAGGAGAGUGGAACUCCAUGUGUAGCGGUGAAAUGCGUAGAUAUAUGGAAGAACACCAGUGGCGAAGGCGGCUCUCUGGUCUGUAACUGACGCUGAGGUUCGAAAGCGUGGGUAGCAAACAGGAUUAGAUACCCGAGUAGUC
This 465-nucleotide ribosomal RNA is filed under the name uncultured bacterium. Its description in RNAcentral is "partial 16S ribosomal RNA". It matches the Rfam family "Bacterial small subunit ribosomal RNA", at positions 338 to 795 of the family's 1533-position model. The record is from RNAcentral.